AUUGAACGCUGGCGGCAGGCCUAACACAUGCAAGUCGAGCGAGCGGCGGACGGGUGAGUAAUGUCUGGGAAACUGCCUGAUGGAGGGGGAUAACUACUGGAAACGGUAGCUAAUACCGCAUACCAUCAGAUGUGCCCAGAUGGGAUUAGCUAGUAGGUGGGGUAACGGCUCACCGAAGCAACGAUCCCUAGCGGGUCUGUGAGGAUGAACAGCCACGCUGGACCUUGGACACGGUCCAGAAUCCUACGGGAGGCAGCAGUGGGGAAUGUUGCACAAUGGGCGAGAGCCGGAUGCAGCCAUGCCGCGUGUAUGAAGAAGGCCUUCGGGUUGUAGAGUACUUUCAGAGGGGAGGCGUUACCCGCAGAAGAAGCACCGGCUAACUCCGUGCCAGCAGCCGCGGUAAUAC
This 406-nucleotide ribosomal RNA is filed under the name uncultured bacterium. Its description in RNAcentral is "partial 16S ribosomal RNA". It matches the Rfam family "Bacterial small subunit ribosomal RNA", at positions 30 to 526 of the family's 1533-position model. The record is from RNAcentral.